AAUAGUGUCAUCGUGCGAAAAUAAAAAAAAAAAAAUAGACAUACUUCCCUAAACACAACUAGUUCAAGUCGACAAAUUCGUUAAGCAGGAAAAUUCGUGUGUUAGAAUGUUUCAACGUCUUUUUAUGGGAACUGGUUGUUUACGAUAAAAGCUGUUUUCAGGCCAGUCUUACCUUCAAGAUAGAAAAGCGCAUAAUCAGCUAGCACGUCGAACUGAACUGCAGCAGCCAGUGGAAACAGUUCUAAUUCGUUAACUCAUCGAAAAUGCUUACCGUCAUAGCCGUAAGUAGGCAUAGACACCUGCAUUGAGAUUUAGAACCAGGAAGCAGGCUCACCUAAACUUUUAGCUCAGCGCGUAUUCAGCCUGACCUUGUUAUUGUGGACAAGUCUCACAAAAUGUAGGGCCAUCAAGAAAAGUCUCGUGAGACGUUGAGCCAAAACGCGGAGAUUGAGAGAAGCAAGAGGCAGAGCAAGGGAUAAGGAGCCAGAAGAUCUAGGCAAUACCGAGUAAAAAAAAUUGUAUAGUAAGGGAACGGGGCCUUAGCAAUGCUAAGUAUAGGGUAGAGCAGCUGUAUUCCCUUAGUCAUGGCCGUUGCCGUGCUGGCGGUAGUAUCGAGUGGAGACCUCAAGAGCCUCGAGGGUACCGCCAAGAGAGAGAACUCAUUUGUGCGUGUCUCCCAGCUUUUUUUUUUCUCGUCGUUUCUUUUCCCCUGCUCUCCUUUCUUCCUCUUGCUCUCCACUCGUUGAACUGAAAGGAACGCCUAAGGGAAGUGGGAAGUGCAACCAAGGCGAUCCAAUCGGCGGAAAAAGAGGGAACAGGAUGAACGGGGUGCGUUGGGCUACUUGCUUGUCUCUUUUGCCGGUCGGCUCUAGCCCCACGUUAGUUGAGCCGCGCUACCGUGGCUCGGCCCGUUGAACGCCAAGAGGACGACUCUAUGUCGACCGGCUGCGGCGACCGCGGUACCGAUGUCCCGCUACGCCCAAGGGAGUGGUUCGUUUCGUCGUGGGCAUUACUCGAGAAAACCUAAAAGGUACAACGACGGCAGAGUCGGCGGCUGGUAGGAGCAGCUGCAGCAGCAACGUAAGUGGUACCUCCCACUUCUCUAGCUGUCUCCGCUGUGCUUAGGCCGAGCACAAGCACUGCCUCAUGUAAGGCAUGCUAGGUAGCCAAGUCCAGUGUUGUGACUACUGCUGAUGCUAUAGCUGCUAGCAGUGUGUUCCUUUCACGAACCCUCUCUAAGGGCCUACGAAGACAUAGUAGAGGUUGUAAAUUGUAAAAGGAGUACCUUCGUGUGAGGCUGUAGCAUUGUAGUUUGUUGGUGGCUAGAGUUUGACCCCAUAGGGCUUCAGUGGCUUAGAUCUACUCAUGGUCAUUUAAAGAAUGGUUUGCUGGACCAGGCGGAUGAGUCGACAUCGGUCCGGCACCAGCAGCAGAAUAAAAACAGCGUAGUUGGUCGUGGUGAACAUGGCCGUCGUUGCCGCCACUCGAACUGGCCAGCGGCCGCGGGCACUGUCCUGGCGAGGCGCUGGCGUCGACAAGGGCACGAAAUCCAGAGGCGGAUCACCGGAAUGGGCUGAAGGGUCGACAAGGGCUUAAAUGGCUAAAAGCACAAGAAGAAACAAAAGAGCACUUCAGUGGUACACGAGAGGAGCAAGCUAUAUUAAAGAAACCAAUAGCUGACGCACUCGUGGCGUGUCGGAGCUGAGAAAAAUUGCGUCCCUCGAUAUUAGCCCUGCAUGGAGACGGGUCCGAGGCCGUACAAGCUCUUACAAGAUUACCCAAGCGUUUCCGCAGAAUCAUUUCUAAAUGUGACCAAAAGACGGAAGAAUCGAUCAAUAAUGACAGCGAAACACCUGCUCGUGGGGUCAAAAUUCCGAAACUUCUUAUACAAAGGACAUCUAAGUAGAGGGUAACUGUGUAUUUAUUCACAGUAUUGCAGGUUGCUAGCCUGAACUUAUGCAGCACUUUUCCCCGCAUAUUUGCCUUUUUUUUCGAGUCAUUCGUCGCUUUCCAUCUGCGGUUUUAAACAUUGUCCUUUUUUACCGUUUUUAGCCAUUCUGAUGGAGAUUGGCGCUUGAAGAACUAUUCAACGCCAUUACGGAAGACGGAUCAGCAGUGAAGCUGGUAUAUGAUUUUUGGUAGGUUUUGAAUUUCAGGCACAAUAGAGAAAGAUUUUAGUGAAAUACAUCACCUUAGGCAGUUCGAAAAACCCAUCGCAUUUAUAGGAGGCAAGUAUCAGAGGCCUUAAACAGCCCAAUAUCAAGAAGACCCAAGUGCACCUUUUACUAAAGGCCCCACAUUUAAGAAAAUAUCAUUAAACAAGGUUGGUAUUGAUAACGCUUUCGUGCCAAUUGUAUUUCGGUAUUCUAGCAGACGAAAGAACGUUGUUUUGAGUCAUUGCUAACCUUAAUCAUUUUCUUGUAGGUAUUAGUAUUAAACGAUGAAAUAGUAAAAAACGACAAAGUUGCCGGGCCCACCAGGCCGCGAUAUCACGGACAACUCAAACCAAGCUUGAUGCUAGUUAGGUAAUGAGGCGUACUACUAUACAAAUAUCAACGUUAAUAUUAGCAGGCAACAAUGACUGGUUGGUCAGGCGUCCACAGAGGGCCCGUCGAAUACGUUAGUCUGACAUAAUAAUCACGUUCUAACGACUACCACGCCCGACAAGAUUACCCUUUACUAAUAUCUCUGCUGACCGAGUGGAAUAAUGCGCUCUGUUCUCAAAAGGCAUUAGUGUUACACAUAGGAGUCACAUUUAUUAAAUGAUUACGAUCGAGAUUCAGGAUUGGAUCACAAGAGAAAAUUAAGUAUGUCGGAAGUAAAUCGCUAUACGACCUUCGAAGGUGUCAGCGGUCAAACGAAGGAAAUUUUGCGAUUAAACUAUUUUCAGAUGCCACAAAUUUCAGACACGAUGUUAUCAGCCUGUACUUCGUUUAUAUUACAAUUAUUUCCGUAUAUUUACUCUUUAUUGCUAGCUUAUUACAUGGCCAUAUUAAAUCACCCAAAAAAUGUCCUUACCCACUUAGCAUGGCAUUACAUGAAGGCAUAAAAUACGAUUUGUCGAAUGUGCGCAUGCCCCUAUGGUCGCAUAUAACAUAUAUAUUGAAAUAAAUGAUUAUACAUUUCUGUGUAUAUUUAUCACCA
Varroa destructor (honeybee mite) is the source of this 3144-nucleotide long non-coding RNA. RefSeq lists it as uncharacterized. The record is from RefSeq and is a predicted model, not a curated record. Lineage: Eukaryota; Metazoa; Arthropoda; Arachnida; Mesostigmata; Varroidae.